CCUACGGGGGGCAGCAGUGGGGGAUAUUGCACAAUGGGCGCAAGCCUGAUGCAGCGACGCCGCGUGGGGGAUGACGGCUUUCGGGUUGUAAACCUCUUUCGUCGGGGGACAAGGCUCUGCUUGGUGGUGGGGUUGAGGGUACCCGGUGAAGAAGCGCCGGCUAACUACGUGCCAGCAGCCGCGGUAAUACGUAGGGCGCGAGCGUUGUCCGGAAUUAUUGGGCGUAAAGGGCUCGUAGGCGGCUUGUCGCGUCUGCUGUGAAAAUGCGGGGCUUAACUCCGUACGUGCAGUGGGUACGGGCAGGCUAGAGUGCGGUAGGGGUGACUGGAAUUCCUGGUGUAGCGGUGGAAUGCGCAGAUAUCAGGAGGAACACCGAUGGCGAAGGCAGGUCACUGGGCUGUUACUGACGCUGAGGAGCGAAAGCGUGGGGAGCGAACAGGAUUAGAUACCCUUGUAGUC
This 459-nucleotide ribosomal RNA is filed under the name uncultured Actinomycetaceae bacterium. Its description in RNAcentral is "bacterial SSU rRNA". It matches the Rfam family "Bacterial small subunit ribosomal RNA", at positions 338 to 795 of the family's 1533-position model. The record is from RNAcentral. Lineage: Bacteria; Bacillati; Actinomycetota; Actinomycetes; Actinomycetales; Actinomycetaceae.